UAAGAAUGGUUGGUCAUCACAGGACAC
Molecule: non-coding RNA, 27 nt
Filed under: Rattus norvegicus (Norway rat)
Lineage: Eukaryota; Metazoa; Chordata; Mammalia; Rodentia; Muridae
Source: RNAcentral